Molecule: ribosomal RNA, 232 nt
Filed under: uncultured bacterium
Lineage: Bacteria
Description: partial 16S ribosomal RNA
Rfam family: Bacterial small subunit ribosomal RNA
Source: RNAcentral
CGGACGGGUGAGUAAUGUCUGGGAAACUGCCUGGUGGAGGGGGAUAACUACUGGAAACGGUAGCUAAUACCGCAUAACGUCGCAAGACCAAAGAGGGGGACCUUCGGGCCUCUUGCCAUCGGAUGUGCCCAGAUGGGAUUAGCUAGUAGGUGGGGUAAUGGCUCACCUAGGCGACGAUCCCUAGCUGGUCUGAGAGGAUGACCAGCCACACUGGAACUGAGACACGGUCCAG